Molecule: long non-coding RNA, 540 nt
Organism: Carcharodon carcharias (great white shark)
Lineage: Eukaryota; Metazoa; Chordata; Chondrichthyes; Lamniformes; Lamnidae
Exons: 2
Source: RefSeq, a predicted model, not a curated record
CAGGGGUCAGACGUAUGCAACAUGAUAAACGCUCUUCAGCUAUUAGCCUGAAGAAAAAAAAAUCAUCUGUUAUCUAUGCACAAGUAGCACAAGCAAAAUAAAGAUGAGCUUCAUGGGAGAGACAGGAUGAACUUGGAGCUGAAUGCAUGGAAUAUAACAUUUCUGGAAAUUGAUAUUUUUACCUGAGAACAGAUGAAGAGUUUUCUUCUCAUGUAUCUGUUCUGAUUUAAUAUAAUUAUUGCAUCGCUCUUUUCGAAGAUAAAUCAUGAAUGAUAAUUUGCAAUAUAAAUGAUUCUCUUAAUAAUGUUUCAACAAUCCUUUCACAGAUUCUGUAGACGCUAUGUUAAAAAUAAGCAGCAAUGAUCGUUCAGCUAUGCAGUGCAUUGCGUAAGAUUGAGUUUUUCUGCCUUCUGUUGGCUCAUUUAAUUAAUUCACUCAACGAUACACCUACCAUUUCUAUUAUCCAUGGUUAUCAGAGUAAGUUCCAUCUUAUGCUGAUGUUUUUCAUCCUCUCCCCAUUAAAUACUCCAAGCUAAAUUC